This 73-nucleotide transfer RNA is filed under the name Ligilactobacillus agilis. RNAcentral's name for it is "tRNA-Glu". It matches the Rfam family "tRNA". From Rfam's summary of the family: Transfer RNA (tRNA) molecules are approximately 80 nucleotides in length. Their secondary structure includes four short double-helical elements and three loops (D, anti-codon, and T loops). The record is from RNAcentral. RNAcentral also lists the same sequence under 5 other names. Lineage: Bacteria; Bacillati; Bacillota; Bacilli; Lactobacillales; Lactobacillaceae.
GGCCCGUUGGUCAAGUGGUUAAGACACCGCCCUUUCACGGCGGUAACAUGGGUUCAAAUCCCGUACGGGUCAC